GCAGGUAUGGCGGAAAUGGCAGACGCGAUAGAUUCAGGUUCUAUUGAGGGUUUCUUCAUGCAGGUUCAAGUCCUGUUACCUGCA
This 84-nucleotide transfer RNA is filed under the name Clostridiales bacterium. RNAcentral describes it as "tRNA-Leu". It matches the Rfam family "tRNA". From Rfam's summary of the family: Transfer RNA (tRNA) molecules are approximately 80 nucleotides in length. Their secondary structure includes four short double-helical elements and three loops (D, anti-codon, and T loops). The record is from RNAcentral. RNAcentral also lists the same sequence under 5 other names. Lineage: Bacteria; Bacillati; Bacillota; Clostridia; Eubacteriales.